Long non-coding RNA from Oncorhynchus keta (chum salmon), 1751 nucleotides. RefSeq lists it as uncharacterized. Lineage: Eukaryota; Metazoa; Chordata; Actinopteri; Salmoniformes; Salmonidae. The record is from RefSeq and is a predicted model, not a curated record. The transcript is spliced from 3 exons.
CCUAGUGGUUAGAGUGUAGAGGUGGCAGGGUAGCCUAGUGGUUAGAGUGUAGAGGUGGCAGGGUAGCCUAGUGGUUAGAGUGUAGAGGAGGCAGGGUAGCCUAGUGGUUAGAGUGUAGAGGAGGCAGGGUAGCCUAGUGGUUAGAGUGUAGAGGUGGCAGGGUAGCCUAGUGGUUAGAGUGUAGAGGUGGCAGGGUAGCCUAGUGGUUAGAGUGUAGAGGUGGCAGGGUAGCCUAGUGGUUAGAGUGUAGAGGUGGCAGGGUAGCCUAGUGGUUAGAGUGUAGAGGUGGCAGGGUAGCCUAGUGGUUAGAGUGUAGAGGUGACAGGGUAGCCUAGUGGUUAGAGUGUAGAGGCGGCAGGGUAGCCUAGUGGUUAGAGUGUAGAGGUGGCAGGGUAGCCUAGUGGUUAGAGUGUAGAGGUGGCAGGGUAGCCUAGUGGUUAGAGUGUAGAGGUGGCAGGGUAGCCUAGUGGUUAGAGUGUAGAGGCGGCAGGGUAGCCUAGUGGUUAGAGUGUAGAGGUGGCAGGGUAGCCUAGUGGUUAGAGUGUAGAGGUGGCAGGGUAGUCUAGUGGUUAGAGUGUAGAGGUGGCAGGGUAGCCUAGUGGUUAGAGUGUAGAGGUGGCAGGGUAGCCUAGUGGUUAGAGUGUAGAGGUGGCAGGGUAGCCUAGUGGUUAGAGUGUAGAGGUGGCAGGGUAGCCUAGUGGUUAGAGUGUAGAGGUGGCAGGGUAGCCUAGUGGUUAGAGUGUAGAGGUGGCAGGGUAGCCUAGUGGUUAGAGUGUAGAGGUGGUAGGGUAGCCUAGUGGUUAGAGUGUAGAGGUGGCAGGGUAGCCUAGUGGUUAGAGUGUAGAGGCGGCAGGGUAGCCUAGUGGUUAGAGUGUAGAGGUGGCAGGGUAGCCUAGUGGUUAGAGUGUAGAGGUGGCAGGGUAGCCUAGUGGUUAGAGUGUAGAGGUGGCAGGGUAGCCUAGUGGUUAGAGUGUAGAGGCGGCAGGGUAGCCUAGUGGUUAGAGUGUAGAGGUGGCAGGGUAGCCUAGUGGUUAGAGUGUAGAGGUGGCAGGGUAGUCUAGUGGUUAGAGUGUAGAGGUGGCAGGGUAGCCUAGUGGUUAGAGUGUAGAGGUGGCAGGGUAGCCUAGUGGUUAGAGUGUAGAGGUGGCAGGGUAGCCUAGUGGUUAGAGUGGAGGGGCGGCAGGGUAGCCUAGUGGUUAGAGUGUAGAGGCGGCAGGGUAGCCUAGUGGUUAGAGUGUAGAGGUGGCAGGGUAGCCUAGUGGUUAGAGUGUAGAGGUGGCAGGGUAGUCUAGUGGUUAGAGUGUAGAGGUGGCAGGGUAGCCUAGUGGUUAGAGUGUAGAGGUGGCAGGGUAGCCUAGUGGUUAGAGUGUAGAGGCGGCAGGGUAGCCUAGUGGUUAGAGUGUAGAGGUGGCAGGGUAGCCUAGUGGUUAGAGUGUAGAGGUGGCAGGGUAGUCUAGUGGUUAGAGUGUAGAGGUGGCAGGGUAGCCUAGUGGUUAGAGUGUAGAGGUGGCAGGGUAGCCUAGUGGUUAGAGUGUAGAGGUGGCAGGGUAGCCUAGUGGUUAGAGUGGAGGGGCGGCAGGGUAGCCUAGUGGUUAGAGUGUAGAGGUGGCAGGGUAGCCUAGUGGUUAGAGUGUAGAGGUGGCAGGGUAGCCUAGUGGUUAGAGUGUAGAGGAUGGCAGGGUAGCCUAGUGGUUAGAGUGUAGAGGUGGCAGGGUAGCCUAGUGGUUUGAGUGUAGAGGUGGCAGGUAGCC